CUAUACAUGCAGUCGAGCGCAGGAACUGACGGAACUCUUCGGAGGGAAGGCAGUGGAAUGAGCGGCGGACGGGUGAGUAACACGUAAGGAACCUGCCUCAAGGAUUGGGAUAACUCCGAGAAAUCGGAGCUAAUACCGGAUAGUUCAACGGACCGCAUGGUCCGCUGAUGAAAGGCGCUUCGGCGUCACCUUGAGAUGGCCUUGCGGUGCAUUAGCUAGUUGGUGGGGUAACGGCCCACCAAGGCGACGAUGCAUAGCCGACCUGAGAGGGUGAUCGGCCACACUGGGACUGAGACACGGCCCAGACUCCUACGGGAGGCAGCAGUAGGGAAUCUUCCACAAUGGACGAAAGUCUGAUGGAGCAACGCCGCGUGAGUGAUGAAGGUUUUCGGAUCGUAAAACUCUGUUGUAAGGGAAGAACACGUACGAGAGGUAAUGCUCGUACCUUGACGGUACCUUACGAGAAAGCCACGGCUAACUACGUGCCAGCAGCCGCGGUAAUACGUAGGUGGCAAGCGUUGUCCGGAAUUAUUGGGCGUAAAGCGCGCGCAGGCGGCCUUUUAAGUCUGAUGUGAAAGCCCCCGGCUCAACCGGGGAGGGCCAUUGGAAACUGGAAGGCUUGAGUACAGAAGAGAAGAGUGGAAUUCCACGUGUAGCGGUGAAAUGCGUAGAGAUGUGGAGGAACACCAGUGGCGAAGGCGACUCUUUGGUCUGUAACUGACGCUGAGGCGCGAAAGCGUGGGGAGCAAACAGGAUUAGAUACCCUGGUAGUCCACGCCGUAAACGAUGAGUGCUAGGUGUUGGGGGGUUUCCGCCCCUCAGUGCUGAAGCUAACGCAUUAAGCACUCCGCCUGGGGAGUACGGCCGCAAGGCUGA
This 876-nucleotide ribosomal RNA is filed under the name uncultured Exiguobacterium sp. RNAcentral describes it as "bacterial SSU rRNA". It matches the Rfam family "Bacterial small subunit ribosomal RNA", at positions 49 to 897 of the family's 1533-position model. Lineage: Bacteria; Bacillati; Bacillota; Bacilli; Caryophanales. The record is from RNAcentral.